AUACGGAGGGUGCAAGCGUUGUUCGGAAUCACUGGGCGUAAAGGGCGCGCAGGCGGUUUUACAAGUCAGAUGUGAAAGCCCACGGCUCAACCGUGGAAGUGCAUUUGAAACUGUAAGACUUGAGUAUCAGAGGGGAAGGUGGAAUUCCCGGUGUAGAGGUGAAAUUCGUAGAUAUCGGGAGGAAUACCGGUGGCGAAGGCGACUUUCUGGCUAGAUACUGACGCUGAGGCGCGAAAGCGUGGGGAGCAAACAGGAUUAGAUACCCCAGUAGUCC
This 274-nucleotide ribosomal RNA is filed under the name uncultured bacterium. RNAcentral's name for it is "partial 16S ribosomal RNA". It matches the Rfam family "Bacterial small subunit ribosomal RNA", at positions 523 to 796 of the family's 1533-position model. The record is from RNAcentral.